GACGAACGCUGGCGGCGUGCUUAACACAUGCAAGUCGAACGGAAAGGCCCUGCUAUUGUGGGGUGCUCGAGUGGCGAACGGGUGAGUAACACGUGAGUAACCUGCCCUGGACUUUGGGAUAACUUCAGGAAACUGGGGCUAAUACCGGAUAGGAGCUCCAGCUGAAAGGAGGGGGAUGGAAAGUUUCGGCGGGAGGGGAUGGGCUCGCGGCUUAUCAGCUUGUUGGUGGGGUAGUGGCUUACCAAGGCUUAGACGGGUAGCCGGCCUGGGAGGGUGACCGGCCACAUUGGGACUGAGCUACGGCCCAGACUCCUACGGGAGGCAGCGGUGGGGAAUAUUGCACUAUGGGCGGAAGCCUGAUGCAGCGACGCCGCGUGCGGGAUGACGGCCUUCGGGUUGUAAACCGCUUUCGCCUGUGACGAAGCGUGAGUGACGGUAAUGUGUAAAGAAGCACCGGCUAACUACGUG
RNAcentral lists this ribosomal RNA (468 nucleotides) under uncultured bacterium. RNAcentral describes it as "partial 16S ribosomal RNA". It matches the Rfam family "Bacterial small subunit ribosomal RNA", at positions 28 to 507 of the family's 1533-position model. The record is from RNAcentral.